This 440-nucleotide ribosomal RNA is filed under the name uncultured bacterium. RNAcentral describes it as "bacterial SSU rRNA". It matches the Rfam family "Bacterial small subunit ribosomal RNA", at positions 338 to 795 of the family's 1533-position model. The record is from RNAcentral.
CCUACGGGUCGCACCAGUGGGGAAUAUUGGACAAUGGGCGCAAGCCUGAUCCAGCCAUGCCGCGUGAGUGAAGAAGGCCUUAAGGUUGUAAAGCUCUUUCACCGAUGAAGAUAAUGACGGUAACCGGAGAAGAAGUCCCGGCUAACUUCGUGCCAGCAGCCGCGGUAAUACGAAGGGGGCUAGCGUUGUUCGGAAUUACUGGGCGUAAAGCGCGCGUAGGCGGAUAGAUAAGUCAGAGGUGAAAUCCCGGGGCUCAACCCCGGAAUUGCCUUUGAUACUGUUUAUCUUGAGUGCACAAGAGGUAAGUGGAAUUCCGAGUGUAGAGGUGGAAUUCGUAGAUAUUCGGAGGAACACCAGUGGCGAAGGCGGCUUACUGGUCUGCAACUGUCGCUGAGGCGCGAAAGCGUGGGGAGCAAACAGGAUUAGAUACCCGCGUAGUC